UACGGGGGGGGUAAGCGUUGUUCGGAAUUACUGGGCGUAAAGGGCUCGUAGGCGGCCAACUAAGUCAGACGUGAAAUCCCUCAGCUUAACUGGGGAACUGCGUCUGAUACUGGAUGGCUUGGAUUCGGGAGAGGAAUGCGGAAUUCCAGGUGUAGCGGUGAAAUGCGUAGAUAUCUGGAGGAACACCGGUGGCGAAGGCGGCAUUCUGGACCGAUAUUGACGCUGAGGAGCGAAAGCCAGGGGAGCAAAGCGGG
Molecule: ribosomal RNA, 254 nt
Filed under: uncultured bacterium
Lineage: Bacteria
Description: partial 16S ribosomal RNA
Rfam family: Bacterial small subunit ribosomal RNA
Source: RNAcentral